GGAAGAUCUUACAAUUUAUUAAAAAAAAGUUUCUGUACUACAAGUGUGGAUUCAGAAUGCUACUAAUAAACGGAAAAAAAUAAGUUUUUGAUCUCUUGUUAAGUAGAUUUCCAUGUUGUAAUCUGUUGCAGAAUAAUCCUCAAGUCUUAGUAACUUCGAGCAGUGGCCUGCGACCAACUUAUAAAAACAUCACAGAAAGGGAUUAACUCGUAGCGAUCCCUUAACAAAUAUCUGCAUGUUUUUAGUUUCAUUGUUUAAAUUGCUAGUUUCAAAUCUAUUAGUCACCUUGUCAAUUGUAGUUGAUGCGACAGAUCACGAUACAGAAAUACCCACCUCUUGUUUUUAUUGAAAAGGCUUUUCCUUUCAUUCAAAUGCAGUAAAGCAAAUUUUAAGUAUUGAUAUUUUUAAUUAAAUGUAUAUUGGGAAGAAAAGGGUAAGAUCUGAUAGUGGGGUUAGACCCGGUAGCUUGAUUCCGUUGAAAUUAGUUCCAUUUUCUAAUGAAUAAACUCUGAGUAACACUUUACUAGUCAAGAAGAACAACUACCAUUUUUUUGUAUUGCAGUUGAUUAAUUCAAGUCGUCUUGGUAAAUAAGUUUGAGUGUUUCCUUAUUUUGAGUUGCCCACCCGGUGUAGAAAAGACUGAAACAGUCAAAGCUUUAUGUAAAUCUCUUAAUAUUGAGUAAUUUAUUUGGUCAAAUAAGCAUCAGGAAAAUGCUAAGCACAAAUGAUGGCAUGUUCUGCUUUGGAGAUCAGAUAACCUCUAGGGAAACUCAAGCUCAGUCCUUAUGUCUAUUUCUCUUACAAUCUUCAAAAUAUUUUUACAUUCAAAUGGAGUUUCCAAAUGUGAAUAAGAGAUCCAAUCCUGCUUCAUUGCAUUCUAAGGAGGUGUUAGAUAAGACAUCUAUUUCUGCAGAAUCUUUAAUUUUUUUGAGAGAGAAUUUAUUCCCUUUAUUGAUAACAUUGAAGAUAACUUUGAAUGUGCACUUUGGUUAAGUGAUGCUGAUUACGUGAGUGCUCUAUGAAUUUUACGAUGCUGUUGCUAAAAAUGCUGCUAUUGCCAACUGGCAGGGAGAUUAAAUUACAGAGUAUGUCAUCGAAUUUGAAUCAAGAUAACUGAUUUUUUGUUAUAAUCAGCUUUGUUGGCACUAACAAAGGAGUUAGGAAUUAUGAAAGUAAAAAAGUUUUUUAGACUUAAUCUGGAACAGAAGCAACUAUGCAACUACUUCUAAAUUAUGCUGACAGGCUAACUACUUAUGAGAUAAUCCUAGGUGAUGCUGUUGCAGCACAACAGCAUUUUGAUCCCAAGUUUUUCAAACAAUUCCGAUCCCAAUGUGGCCUGGAAGCGACCAUUCAGUUUUCUUUUCGGUUCUCUUUAAUUUGAAAGCGGUAGUAACGCCCUUCACUUAUAUGGGAGCAGAAGCACCGCCUGGAAAUACUCAGUUAUUUUCCUGAGACCACUUCACCUUCCGAGUCUCUGUUACCUCUUUACAACAGUGAUUUAGAUAUGGUUUUUUAUCAAUGGCAUGAACAAAAAGUUAGAGAGCCUGAUUGGUGUGAAAAUGAAUUUGACAAGAUUGUUAUCCCCGAAGAAUACAUAGAAGAAUUUUAUGAAAAAAUAAAGGGCUAGUGAAAUAUAGAGUCGUGACACAAUGAAUGAUUGUAUGGUGCCUUUGGCAUCUAGAGGUCUGAUGUUAAAUUUAUUCUUUAGGAAUAAGUGGAGAGCGCUGCACAAACCUCAGUUUCAUGAAAGUUUUUCUAAGCUCACGUAGCACAAAUGAAGGAAUUAGGAAAUAUGAAAAUAAAAACGUUUUUUAGGCAAUUAAUUAUCAUUUUGUGUUCAAAUUUUUAAAUUUUAAAACCUUGUAAUGAUACAAUCUACUAAUUAAGUCAAAUAUUCUUUGAAACAAUUAAAUUCUCUUCAAUUUGGU
Parasteatoda tepidariorum (common house spider) is the source of this 1928-nucleotide non-coding RNA. NCBI's taxonomy places the organism in Eukaryota, Metazoa, Arthropoda, Arachnida, Araneae, Theridiidae. The record is from RefSeq and is a predicted model, not a curated record.